AUUCCUACGGGAGGCAGCAGUGGGGAAUAUUGCACAAUGGGGGAAACCCUGAUGCAGCGACGCCGCGUGAGUGAAGAAGUAUUUCGGUAUGUAAAGCUCUAUCAGCAGGGAAGAAGCAAGACGGUACCUGACUAAGAAGCCCCGGCUAACUACGUGCCAGCAGCCGCGGUAAUACGUAGGGGGCAAGCGUUAUCCGGAUUUACUGGGUGUAAAGGGAGCGUGGACGGUAUGGCAAGUCUGAAGUGAAAGCCCAGGGCU
Molecule: ribosomal RNA, 258 nt
Filed under: uncultured bacterium
Lineage: Bacteria
Description: partial 16S ribosomal RNA
Rfam family: Bacterial small subunit ribosomal RNA
Source: RNAcentral